Molecule: ribosomal RNA, 464 nt
Filed under: uncultured bacterium
Lineage: Bacteria
Description: partial 16S ribosomal RNA
Rfam family: Bacterial small subunit ribosomal RNA
Source: RNAcentral
GAUGAACGCUGGCGGCGUGCUUAACACAUGCAAGUCGAACGGAAAGGCUCCUGCUUGCAGGGGUACUCGAGUGGCGAACGGGUGAGUAACACGUGGGUGAUCUGCCCUGCACUUCGGGAUAAGCCUGGGAAACUGGGUCUAAUACCGGAUAGGACGAUGGUUUGGAUGCCAUUGUGGAAAGUUUUUCGGUGUGGGAUGAGCUCGCGGCCUAUCAGCUUGUUGGUGGGGUAAUGGCCUACCAAGGCGUCGACGGGUAGCCGGCCUGAGAGGGUGUACGGCCACAUUGGGACUGAGAUACGGCCCAGACUCCUACGGGAGGCAGCAGUGGGGAAUAUUGCACAAUGGGCGCAAGCCUGAGGCAGCGACGCCGCGUGGGGGAUGACGGCCUUCGGGUUGUAAACUCCUUUCGCUAGGGACGAAGCGCAAGUGACGGUACCUGGAGAAGAAGCACCGGCUAACUACGU